UCCUCAGCAAACAAAAAAAUGCUAGUCUUAUACUACCUAUCACCCGCCCGAGUACUACAAGCGCUAGCUUCAAACCCAAAGGACUUGGCGGUACCCCAGACCCACCUAGAGGAGCCUGUUCUACAACCGAUAAUCCCCGUUAAACCUCACCACUUCUUGCCAUCAUACCGCCUAUAUACCGCCGUCGUCAGCUCACCCCAUGAGGGAACAAGAGUAAGCAAAAUGGGUCAACCUCCAAUACGUCAGGUCGAGGUGUAGCGAACGAAGUGGAAAGAAAUGGGCUACAUUUUCUAUUAAGAAAAAACGAACAGUACAAUGAAAAAUUACUUAAAGGUGGAUUUAGCAGUAAGAAAAUCUUAGAAUACUAUCCUGAAACCGGCUCUGGGGUGCGCACACACCGCCCGUUUCACCCAACAAAAAAGAAAAGGUCACCUCAACACGCGGCCAGUAACAAUCAGUCGCCUCAAGUCAGGGGUGGGGGGGGGGGGGAAAAUCCCCCCAC
This 502-nucleotide ribosomal RNA is filed under the name Glaucostegus granulatus (sharpnose guitarfish). RNAcentral's name for it is "partial 12S ribosomal RNA". The stretch from base 50 to 395 matches the Rfam family "Bacterial small subunit ribosomal RNA", at positions 875 to 1387 of the family's 1533-position model. The record is from RNAcentral. Lineage: Eukaryota; Metazoa; Chordata; Chondrichthyes; Rhinopristiformes; Glaucostegidae.